AAAGUGCUUCUAGAAUGAA
RNAcentral lists this ribosomal RNA (19 nucleotides) under Mycalesis francisca (lilacine bushbrown). Its description in RNAcentral is "partial 12S ribosomal RNA". The record is from RNAcentral. Lineage: Eukaryota; Metazoa; Arthropoda; Insecta; Lepidoptera; Nymphalidae.